UCCACCAGCAGAGGCAUCAACCCAAUGGUAGUAAUAACAUUAACGGUACCAAUUUUUUCUGCACCAGAUGCGCAUUUUGACAAUACAUGUCUCUUAAGUGAUGCUCGUGGCCAAAAUAUUUGAAAUCCAAAGCUUAUAUAAUGGCAGUAUCAAUAUAGGCACAUCUAUUGGCCACAGAGUUAAAGGGUUCUUUAUUUUUAUAGGGCAUUCCUUAGUUAUUGGUGAUAGAACGUUUCAAAAAACUUUAUAUGCUGAUUUUGAUUUUAAAUGACCAAAUUUUUCAUGAAAACAAAUGACCGUUACAAAAAACGAAACUUUAGUAUACUAGUACUAUCUCUUCAACCUCCUAAAUUUCUUUUUUUAAAAUAGAAUAUGGUUAUAAACUUGAUAUUUGUUUAGAGCAGACUCAUUGAUCAGUGUUAUCCAACACAAUGUUAGAAUUCUUUAAAUUUGAUUUUUAAAUUUGAAAAAUAGGAAAAUUUCUGCAAUUAUAACAUAGUGACGUAUCGAGAGCAAUGAACUCUUAACACUAUGAUAUUUAUAGUUAUGUAAUUGUACAAAAUGUAUAUAGGUGCAAAUGUAUAUAUGUAUGACGAUGAUAUAAGGAAAUGACAAAAGUGAGUUUUGGAAAACGAGAACUGGAAGUAUGAGUUUGAAUGAAAAUAAACUUUGUAAAUGUGUCACAGGUGAUAUUAAAUAUUAAAUGUAUUAUGACUGAAUUAUUCUGUGUUUAAUUAUUUUAUUUAUAUUAAACUUAAUUAUUUUUUA
This 768-nucleotide long non-coding RNA is filed under the name Mytilus galloprovincialis (Mediterranean mussel). Lineage: Eukaryota; Metazoa; Mollusca; Bivalvia; Mytilida; Mytilidae. The record is from RNAcentral.